AGAGUUUGAUCAUGGCUCAGGAUGAACGCUGGCGGCGUGCCUAAUACAUGCAAGUCGAGCGCGAAGAUCAGGAGCUUGCUCCUGAGAUUUGAGCGGCGGACGGGUGAGUAACACGUAGGCAACCUACCCUUGAGAUUGGGAUAACUACCGGAAACGGUAGCUAAUACCGGAUACGACUUUUCCACAUAAGUGGAACUGUUAAAAGGCGGAUUUAUCUGCCGCUCAUGGAUGGGCCUGCGGUGCAUUAGCUAGUUGGUGAGAUAGUAGCUCACCAAGGCGACGAUGCAUAGCCGACCUGAGAGGGUGAUCGGCCACACUGGGACUGAGACACGGCCCAGACUCCUACGGGAGGCAGCAGUAGGGAAUCUUCCGCAAUGGACGAAAGUCUGACGGAGCAACGCCGCGUGAGUGAUGAAGGGUUUCGGCUCGUAAAACUCUGUUGUUAAGGAAGAACACUUGAGGUAGUAACUGGCCUUGAGAUGACGGUACUUAACCAGAAAGCCACGGCUAACUACGUGCCAGCAGCCGCGGUAAUACGUAGGUGGCAAGCGUUAUCCGGAAUUAUUGGGCGUAAAGCGCGCGUAGGCGGUAAAAUAAGUCUGAUGUGAAAGCCCCCGGCUCAACCGGGGAGGGUCAUUGGAAACUGUUUUACUUGAGUACAGAAGAGGAGAAUCCCGCGGCCAUGGCGGCCGGGAGCAUGCGACGUCGGGCCCAAUUCGCCCUAUAGUGAGUCGUAUUACAAUUCACUGGCCGUCGUUUUACAACGUCGUGACUGGGAAAACCCUGGCGUUACCCAACUUAAUCGCCUUGCAGCACAUCCCCCUUUCGCCAGCUGGCGUAAUAGCGAAGAGGCCCGCACCGAUCGCCCUUCCCAACAGUUGCGCAGCCUGAAUGGCGAAUGGACGCGCCCUGUAGCGGCGCAUUAA
This 926-nucleotide ribosomal RNA is filed under the name uncultured bacterium. RNAcentral's name for it is "bacterial SSU rRNA". The stretch from base 2 to 721 matches the Rfam family "Bacterial small subunit ribosomal RNA", at positions 9 to 873 of the family's 1533-position model. The record is from RNAcentral.